RNAcentral lists this ribosomal RNA (425 nucleotides) under uncultured bacterium. RNAcentral's name for it is "bacterial SSU rRNA". It matches the Rfam family "Bacterial small subunit ribosomal RNA", at positions 356 to 773 of the family's 1533-position model. The record is from RNAcentral.
GGGGAAUAUUGCACAAUGGGCGCAAGCCUGAUGCAGCCAUGCCGCGUGUGUGAAGAAGGCCUUCGGGUUGUAAAGCACUUUCAGCGAGGAGGAAGGCGUUAAGGUUAAUAACCUUAGCGAUUGACGUUACUCGCAGAAGAAGCACCGGCUAACUCCGUGCCAGCAGCCGCGGUAAUACGGAGGGUGCAAGCGUUAAUCGGAAUUACUGGGCGUAAAGCGCACGCAGGCGGUCUGUCAAGUCGGAUGUGAAAUCCCCGGGCUCAACCUGGGAACUGCAUUCGAAACUGGCAGGCUAGAGUCUUGUAGAGGGGGGUAGAAUUCCAGGUGUAGCGGUGAAAUGCGUAGAGAUCUGGAGGAAUACCGGUGGCGAAGGCGGCCCCCUGGACAAAGACUGACGCUCAGGUGCGAAAGCGUGGGGAGCAAAC